AAAGUCGUAACAAGGUAACCGUAGGUGAACCUGCGGUUGGAUCAUUAAAGGUUCCUUCGCUCGCUCGUUCUCGGAGAUCCUAGUUGGUUCUCCCACCUGUAGUGUUUUUUUUUUUUUUGUCUUUGUCUCCUGAAAAAAGCAAAGAAACAACUUUUGGCAACGGAUCUCUUGGCUCUC
RNAcentral lists this unclassified non-coding RNA (177 nucleotides) under Chytridiomycota sp. RNAcentral describes it as "partial contains small subunit ribosomal RNA, internal transcribed spacer 1, and 5.8S ribosomal RNA". The stretch from base 1 to 47 matches the Rfam family "Eukaryotic small subunit ribosomal RNA", at positions 1785 to 1831 of the family's 1831-position model. Lineage: Eukaryota; Fungi; Chytridiomycota. The record is from RNAcentral.